GACAGAGGGUGCAAACGUUGCUCGGAAUCACUGGGCGUAAAAGGGCGUGUAGGCGGGACGGUAAGUCGGGCGUGAAAUCCCUAGGCUCAACCUAGGAACUGCACUCGAAACUACCAUUCUUGAGUGUCGGAGAGGAAAGCGGAAUUCCUGGUGUAGAGGUGAAAAUUCGUAGAUAUCAGGAGGAACACCAGUGGCGAAGGCGGCUUUCUGGGACGAAUAACUGACGUGGAGAACGCGAAAGCGUGGGGAGCAAACAGG
Molecule: ribosomal RNA, 258 nt
Filed under: uncultured bacterium
Lineage: Bacteria
Description: partial 16S ribosomal RNA
Rfam family: Bacterial small subunit ribosomal RNA
Source: RNAcentral